AUCGCGGGGCGGGGCGCGGGCGGUGCCCGGAGCCCGGCGCUGGCGGCAGACGGGGCGGUCUCCCGGAGAAAGCCUUUAUUACAAGAGGCACUUCGGCAAAUUCCUGUACAAAAGUUUGUUCCUGUACUGCUGGAGACAAGUCCACAGAGCUCAUCGGGCAUAUCUCACUGCCCAGUAGUUUGAUGCUAAUUCUGGUGUCAAUGUGAGACUUUGUUACUAAAUUCUUAGUUUUCAGAGUGUUUUGUAACACUCGUGUUUCUGCUACAAUAAAAUGAUGGUGCAGCUAA
Molecule: long non-coding RNA, 287 nt
Organism: Vidua macroura (Pin-tailed whydah)
Lineage: Eukaryota; Metazoa; Chordata; Aves; Passeriformes; Viduidae
Exons: 2
Source: RefSeq, a predicted model, not a curated record